Molecule: ribosomal RNA, 497 nt
Filed under: uncultured bacterium
Lineage: Bacteria
Description: partial 16S ribosomal RNA
Rfam family: Bacterial small subunit ribosomal RNA
Source: RNAcentral
GAUGAACGCUGGCGGCGUGCCUAAUACAUGCAAGUCGAGCGAACAGACGAGGAGCUUGCUCCUCUGACGUUAGCGGCGGACGGGUGAGUAACACGUGGAUAACCUACCUAUAAGACUGGGAUAACUUCGGGAAACCGGAGCCAAUACCGGAUAAUAUAUUGAACCGCAUGGUUCAAUAGUGAAAGACGGCUUUGCUGUCACUUAUAGAUGGAUCCGCGCCGCAUUAGCUAGUUGGUAAGGUAACGGCUUACCAAGGCAACGAUGCGUAGCCGACCUGAGAGGGUGAUCGGCCACACUGGAACUGAGACACGGUCCAGACUCCUACGGGAGGCAGCAGUAGGGAAUCUUCCGCAAUGGGCGAAAGCCUGACGGGGCAACGCCGCGUGAGUGAUGAAGGUCUUCGGAUCGUAAAACUCUGUCAUUAGGGAAGAACAAAUGUGUAAGUAACUAUGCACGUCUUGACGGUACCUAAUCAGAAAGCCACGGCUAACUACGUG